CAGAAUCAUCUGAAUGAAUACACCCCUGAUCACACUCAAACAUAGUUCACUUUCAUAGCAGCCACAUGCAAACAGCAUGAUCACUUUCAUAGCAGCCACAUGCAAACAGCAUGAUCACUUUCAUAGCAGCCACAUGCAAACAGUAUGAUCACUUGCAUAGCAGCCACAUGAAAACAGCAUGAUCACUUUCAUAGCAGCCACAUGCAAACAGCAUGAUCCCUUUCAUAGCAGCCACAUGCAAACAGCAUGAUCCCUUUCAUAGCAGCCACAUGCAAACAGCAUGAUCACUUUCAUAGCAGCCACAUGCAAACAGCAUGAUCACUUUCAAAUCAGCCACAUACAAAUCAAAUCAAAUUUAUUUUUAUAUAGCCCUUCGUACAUCAGCUGAUAUUCUCAAAGUGCUGUACAGAAACCCAGCCUAAAACCCCAAACAGCAAGCAAAGCAUGUGAAACAAGCACGGUGGCUAGGAAAAACUCCCUAGGAAAAACUCCCUAGAAAGGCCAAAAACCUAGGAAGAAACCUAGAGAGGAACCAGGCUAUGAGGGGUGGCCAGUCCUCUUCUGGCUGUGCAGAGUGGAUAUUAAAACAGAACAUGGUCAAAAUGUUAAAAUGUUAAAAUGUUCAUAAAUGACCAGCAUGGUCAAAUAAUAAUAAUCAUAGUAGUUGUCGAGGGUGCAACAAGCACGUCCGGUGAACAGGUCAGGGUUCCAUAGCCGCAGGCAGAACAGUUGAAACUGGAGCAGCAGCACGGCCAGGUGGACUGGGGACAGCAAGGAGUCAUCAUACCAGAACAACCUCAAUUCAUCAGUGCAUGGACUCUACCAGAUGUUGAAAGCGUUCCACAAGGAUGCUGGCCCAUGUUGACUCCAAUGCAUCAAGUUGUCAAGUUGGCUGGAUGUCCUUUGGGUGGUGAACCAUGCUUGAUACACAUCGGAAACUGUUGAGCAUGAAAAACCCAGCAGCGUUGCAGUUCUUGAUACAAACCGGUGCGCCUGGCACUUAUUACCAUAUCCUCUGAAUGGCACACAUAUACAAUCCAUGUCUCAAUUGUCACAAGGCUUAAAAAUCCUUAUUUGCCCUGUCUCCUCC
Molecule: long non-coding RNA, 1090 nt
Filed under: Salmo salar (Atlantic salmon)
Lineage: Eukaryota; Metazoa; Chordata; Actinopteri; Salmoniformes; Salmonidae
Description: lncRNA (ENSSSAG00000110700.1)
Source: RNAcentral